GAUGAACGCUGGCGGCGUGCUUAACACAUGCAAGUCGAACGGAAAGGCCCUGCUUGCAGGGUACUCGAGUGGCGAACGGGUGAGUAACACGUGGGUGAUCUGCCCUGUACUUUGGGAUAAGCCUGGGAAACUGGGUCUAAUACCGAAUAUGACAAUUGUUUGGAUGCGAUUGUGGUAAGCUUUUGCGGUAUGGGAUGAGCUCGCGGCCUAUCAGCUUGUUUGUGGGGUAAUGGCCUACCAAGGCGUCGACGGGUAGCCGUCCUGAGAGGGUGUACGGCCACAUUGGGACUGAGAUACGGCGCAGACUCCUACGGGGGGCAGCAGUGGGGAAUAUUGCACAAUGGGCGCAAGCCUGAUGCAGCGACGCCGCGUGGGGGAUGACGGCCUUCGGGUUGUAAACUCCUUUCGCAACCGACGAAGCCUUUUGGUGACGGUAGGUUGAGAAGAAGCACCGGCUAACUACGUG
RNAcentral lists this ribosomal RNA (466 nucleotides) under uncultured bacterium. RNAcentral's name for it is "partial 16S ribosomal RNA". It matches the Rfam family "Bacterial small subunit ribosomal RNA", at positions 28 to 507 of the family's 1533-position model. The record is from RNAcentral.